AUCCUUCUGUGUUUCCUAAGUGUGAUGAUCAGAUUUUCAUGCUAUUAUGUGAGAUAUGUCUCCCUCAAAUUUUGUUAUGAUGUCAGCACAUUACCCAUCUGAUA
Small nucleolar RNA from Nannospalax galili (Upper Galilee mountains blind mole rat), 104 nucleotides. RefSeq annotates it as small nucleolar RNA U13. Lineage: Eukaryota; Metazoa; Chordata; Mammalia; Rodentia; Spalacidae. The record is from RefSeq and is a predicted model, not a curated record. The transcript has a single exon.